This 238-nucleotide ribosomal RNA is filed under the name uncultured Burkholderiales bacterium. RNAcentral describes it as "partial 16S ribosomal RNA". It matches the Rfam family "Bacterial small subunit ribosomal RNA", at positions 92 to 334 of the family's 1533-position model. The record is from RNAcentral. Lineage: Bacteria; Pseudomonadati; Pseudomonadota; Betaproteobacteria; Burkholderiales.
CGAGUGGCGAACGGGUGAGUAAUAUAUCGGAACGUGCCCAGUAAUGGGGGAUAGCCCGGCGAAAGCCGGAUUAAUACCGCAUACGACCUACGGGUGAAAGCGGGGAUCGCAAGACCUCGCGUUAUUGGAGCGGCCGAUAUCAGAUUAGGUAGUUGGUGGGGUAAAGGCCUACCAAGCCUGCGAUCUGUAGUUGGUCUGAGAGGACGACCAGCCACACUGGGACUGAGACACGGCCCAG